AACUUUCGGCAAUGGAUCUCUUGGUUCCGGCAUCGAUGAAGAACGCAGCGAAAUGCGAUACGUAAUGUGAAUUGCAAAUUCAGUGAAUCAUCGAGUCUUUGAACGCACAUUGCGCCCCCUGGUAUUCCGGGGGGCAUGCCUGUCCGAGCGUCAUUGCUGCCCUCAAGCACGGCUUGUGUGUUGGGCCCCGUCCUCCGAUUCCGGGGGACGGGCCCGAAAGGCAGCGGCGGCACCGCGUCCGGUCCUCGAGCGUAUGGGGCUUUGUCACCCGCUCCGUAGGCCCGGCCGGCGCUUGCCGAUCAACCCAAAUUUUUAUCCAGGUUGACCUCGGAUCAGGUAGGGAUACCCGCUGAACUUAAGCAUAUCAAUAAGCGGAGGCU
This 380-nucleotide unclassified non-coding RNA is filed under the name uncultured Penicillium. Its description in RNAcentral is "sequence contains ITS2". The stretch from base 1 to 153 matches the Rfam family "5.8S ribosomal RNA". The record is from RNAcentral. Lineage: Eukaryota; Fungi; Ascomycota; Eurotiomycetes; Eurotiales; Aspergillaceae.